UACGAAGGGGGCUAGCGUUGUUCGGAAUUACUGGGCGUAAAGCGCGCGCAGGCGGUUCUUCAAGUCAGAGGUGAAAGCCCGGGGCUCAACCCCGGAACUGCCCUUGAAACUGCAGUGCUAGAAUUCUGGAGAGGCGAGUGGAAUUCCGAGUGUAGAGGUGAAAUUCGUAGAUAUUCGGAAGAACACCAGUGGCGAAGGCGACUCGCUGGACAGACAUUGACGCUGAGGUGCGAAAGCGUGGGGAGCAAACAGG
This 253-nucleotide ribosomal RNA is filed under the name uncultured bacterium. RNAcentral's name for it is "partial 16S ribosomal RNA". It matches the Rfam family "Bacterial small subunit ribosomal RNA", at positions 524 to 776 of the family's 1533-position model. The record is from RNAcentral.